Molecule: ribosomal RNA, 497 nt
Filed under: uncultured bacterium
Lineage: Bacteria
Description: partial 16S ribosomal RNA
Rfam family: Bacterial small subunit ribosomal RNA
Source: RNAcentral
GAUGAACGCUGGCGGCGUGCCUAAUACAUGCAAGUCGAGCGAACAGACGAGGAGCUUGCUCCUCUGACGUUAGCGGCGGACGGGUGAGUAACACGUGGAUAACCUACCUAUAAGACUGGGAUAACUUCGGGAAACCGGAUCUAAUACCGGAUAAUAUAUUGAACCGCAUGGUUCAAUAGUGAAAGACGGUUUUGCUGUCACUUAUAGAUGGAUCCGCGCCGCAUUAGCUAGUUGGUAAGGUAACGGCUUACCAAGGCAACGAUGCGUAGCCGACCUGGGAGGGUGAUCGGGCAAACUGGAACUGAGACACGGGCCAGACUCCUAAGGGAGGCAGCAGUAGGGAAUCUUCCGCAAUGGGCGAAAGCCUGACGGAGCAACGGCGCGUGAGUGAUGAAGGUCUUCGGAUCGUAAAACUCUGUUAUUAGGGAAGAACAAAUGGGUAAGUAACUAUGCACGGCUUGACGGUACCUAAUCAGAAAGCCACGGCUAACUACGUG